Marmota flaviventris (yellow-bellied marmot) is the source of this 6690-nucleotide non-coding RNA. Lineage: Eukaryota; Metazoa; Chordata; Mammalia; Rodentia; Sciuridae. The record is from RefSeq and is a predicted model, not a curated record.
GGUCUGCAGUCGGAGACUUGCAGGCAGCAAACACGGUGCGAACGAACAGGAGGGGGGGAAAUAAAAAAAUCUAAACGUGGAGCAGCCGGCCUGGGACCGAGAAGGGGAAUCGAUGCAAGGAGCGCAGUAAUAAUAAUAGAAACCCACUUCGGAGUAAACAGCAUUUUAAAAAGCUGCGACUCAAGAUAACUGAAACCUAAAAUAAAACCUGCUCAUGCACCAUGGUUUUUCAAACUCGGUACCCUUCAUGGAUUAUUUUAUGCUACAUCUGGCUGCUCCGCUUUGCACACACGGGGGAGGCGCAGGCUGCGAAGGAAGUACUACUGCUGGAUUCUAAAGCACAACAAACAGAGUUGGAAUGGAUUUCCUCUCCACCCAAUGGGUGGGAAGAAAUUAGUGGUUUGGAUGAGAAUUAUACUCCAAUAAGAACAUACCAGGUGUGCCAGGUCAUGGAGCCCAACCAAAACAAUUGGCUGCGGACUAACUGGAUUUCGAAAGGCAAUGCACAAAGGAUUUUUGUAGAAUUGAAAUUCACUCUGAGGGAUUGUAACAGUCUUCCUGGAGUACUGGGAACUUGCAAGGAAACCUUUAAUUUGUACUAUUAUGAAACAGACUACGAUACUGGCAGGAUUAUAAGAGAAAACCUCUAUGUAAAAAUAGACACCAUUGCUGCAGAUGAAAGUUUUACCCAAGGUGACCUUGGUGAAAGAAAGAUGAAACUUAAUACUGAGGUGAGAGAGAUUGGACCUUUGUCCAAAAAGGGAUUCUAUCUUGCCUUUCAGGAUGUAGGUGCUUGCAUAGCUUUGGUUUCGGUCAAAGUAUACUACAAGAAGUGCUGGUCCAUUAUUGAGAACUUAGCUAUCUUUCCAGAUACAGUGACUGGUUCAGAAUUUUCCUCUUUAGUUGAGGUUCGAGGGACAUGUGUCAGCAGUGCAGAGGAAGAGGCGGAAAACUCCCCCAGGAUGCACUGCAGUGCAGAAGGAGAAUGGUUAGUGCCCAUUGGAAAAUGUAUCUGCAAAGCGGGCUACCAGCAAAAAGGGGACAUGUGUGAACCCUGUGGCCGUGGGUUCUACAAAUCUUCCUCACAAGAUCUUCAGUGCUCUCGUUGCCCGACCCACAGUUCCUCUGAUCGAGAAGGAUCCUCCAGGUGUGAAUGUGAAGAUGGGUAUUAUAGGGCUCCAUCUGAUCCACCGUAUGUUGCAUGCACAAGGCCUCCAUCUGCACCACAGAACCUCAUUUUCAACAUCAACCAAACCACAGUAAGUUUGGAAUGGAGUCCUCCUGCAGACAAUGGGGGAAGGAACGAUGUCACCUACAGGAUACUGUGUAAGCGAUGCAGUUGGGAGCAGGGCGAAUGUGUGCCCUGUGGGAGUAACAUUGGGUACAUGCCCCAGCAGACUGGAUUAGAGGAUAACUACGUCACUGUCAUGGACCUGCUAGCCCAUGCCAAUUACACCUUUGAAGUGGAAGCUGUGAACGGAGUUUCUGACUUGAGCCGAUCCCAGAGGCUCUUUGCUGCUGUUAGCAUCACCACGGGUCAAGCAGCUCCCUCGCAAGUGAGCGGAGUAAUGAAGGAGAGAGUGCUGCAGCGGAGUGUGGAGCUUUCCUGGCAGGAACCAGAGCAUCCCAAUGGAGUCAUCACCGAGUAUGAAAUCAAGUAUUACGAGAAAGAUCAAAGGGAAAGGACCUACUCAACUGUAAAAACCAAGUCCACCUCAGCCUCCAUAAAUAAUCUGAAACCAGGAACAGUGUAUGUUUUCCAGAUUCGGGCUUUUACUGCUGCAGGUUAUGGAAAUUACAGUCCCAGACUUGAUGUUGCUACGCUAGAGGAAGCUACAGCCACAGCUGUCUCCAGUGAACAGAAUCCUGUUAUUAUCAUUGCUGUGGUGGCGGUGGCAGGGACCAUCAUUUUGGUGUUCAUGGUGUUUGGCUUCAUCAUUGGAAGAAGGCACUGUGGUUAUAGCAAAGCUGACCAAGAAGGGGAUGAAGAACUUUACUUUCAUUGCACCAAAACCUACAUUGACCCUGAAACCUAUGAGGACCCAAAUAGAGCUGUCCAUCAAUUCGCCAAGGAGCUAGAUGCCUCCUGUAUUAAAAUUGAGCGUGUGAUUGGUGCAGGAGAAUUUGGAGAAGUCUGCAGUGGUCGUCUGAAACUUCCAGGGAAAAGAGAUGUAGCAGUAGCCAUAAAAACCCUGAAAGUUGGUUACACAGAAAAACAAAGGAGAGACUUUUUAUGUGAAGCAAGCAUCAUGGGGCAGUUUGACCACCCAAAUGUUGUCCAUUUGGAAGGAGUUGUUACAAGAGGAAAACCAGUCAUGAUUGUAAUAGAGUUCAUGGAAAAUGGAGCCCUAGAUGCAUUUCUCAGGAAACAUGAUGGUCAAUUUACCGUCAUUCAGUUAGUAGGAAUGCUGAGAGGAAUUGCUGCUGGAAUGAGAUAUUUGGCUGAUAUGGGAUAUGUUCACAGGGACCUUGCAGCUCGCAAUAUUCUUGUCAACAGCAAUCUUGUUUGUAAAGUGUCAGAUUUUGGCCUGUCCCGGGUUAUAGAGGACGAUCCAGAAGCUGUCUAUACAACUACUGGUGGAAAAAUUCCAGUAAGGUGGACAGCACCUGAAGCCAUCCAGUAUCGAAAAUUCACAUCAGCCAGUGAUGUCUGGAGCUAUGGAAUAGUCAUGUGGGAAGUUAUGUCUUAUGGAGAAAGACCUUACUGGGACAUGUCAAAUCAAGAUGUAGGUGCUAUACUAUAUAAACAGACAAGAUGAUUCAGUACAUUAGUAACAUUAUUGUUGGAACAUGUGGGUUAUAAAAGCAAUAGAAGAAGGUUAUCGCCUACCAGCACCCAUGGACUGCCCAGCUGGUCUUCACCAGCUAAUGCUGGAUUGUUGGCAAAAGGAGCGUGCUGAAAGGCCAAAGUUUGAGCAGAUAGUUGGAAUUCUAGACAAAAUGAUUCGAAACCCAAACAGUCUGAAAACACCACUGGGAACUUGUAGUAGGCCAAUAAGCCCUCUUCUGGAUCAAAACACUCCUGACUUCACUACCUUCUGUUCAGUUGGAGAAUGGCUACAGGCUAUUAAGAUGGAAAGAUACAAAGAUAACUUCACAGCAGCCGGUUACAAUUCCCUUGAAUCAGUGGCCAGGAUGACUAUUGAGGACGUGAUGAGUUUAGGGAUCACACUGGUUGGCCAUCAAAAGAAAAUCAUGAGCAGCAUUCAGACUAUGAGAGCACAAAUGCUACAUUUACAUGGAACUGGCAUUCAAGUGUGAUAAGAAGUUCUCCCUAUGUGGGAGUUUACAGACUGCAAGAGAACAGUACUGGCCUUCAGUAUAUACAUAGAAUGCUGCUAGAAGAUGAUUGAUGGACUGGGUCCUUCCUACAGUGAAGAGAAGAUUUAAGAAGCACCUAUAGACUUGAACUCCUAAGUGCCACCAGAAUAUAUAAAAAGGGAAUUUAGGAUCCACCACUGGUGGCCAGGAAAACAGCAGUGACAAUAAACAAAGUACUACCUGAAAAACAUCCAAACACCUUGAGCUCUCUAACCUCCUUUUUAUCUUAUAGACUUUUUAAAAUGUACAUAAAGAAUUUAAGAAAGAAUAUAUUUGUCAAAUAAAAUCAUGAUCUUAUUGUUAAAAUCAAUGAAAUAUUUUCCUUAAAUAUGUGAUUUCAGACUUAUUCCUUUUUAAAAUCAUUUGUGUUUAUUCUUCACAAGGACUUUGUUUUAGAAAGUUGUUUAUAGCUUUGGAUCUUUUUAGUGUGAAAUCUAUGACACAUUACUACACUGGGUACCUUUGAAGAAUAUCAAAUUAAAAAGAAAAAACAUAGCAUGAUUGAAGUUAUAUCUUUGUCACAACAUUGGUAUCCUUUAUGUGCCAUUUUAUUCUGUUUAAUCAGUACUGUUUUGAUAUUAUUUGCUGAUUGGCAGGUAGUCCAGAAAAAUGCAAGUUGCCAAGAGCUCUGAUAUUUUUUAAAAGAAGUUUUUUUGUAAAAAUCAGACAACACACUAACUUUUCAAUGAAAUAAAAAAGCAAUAAUGAUCCAUAAAUACUAUAAGGCACUUUUAACAGAUUGUUUAUAGAGUGAUUUUACUAGUCAGAAUUUAAUAAAAGUAACUCAAAUUUUAGGUUUAUGUCUAUAUAAAACAAAAGAUGAGGCACUUCAUCUAAAGAAGGUUGGUGAAGCCAAGUCUCUGAAAGCAAGAACUAUCCAGUGUUAUCUAAAAUUUAAUCUGAGCACAUCAAGAUUUUUUCAAUCUUGUGACAUUAGGAAAUUUAGGAGAAGUAGUCGACGUCUAUUUUAUAUUCUUUUCUGUUGAAUGCAGUCCAAACAUGAAAGGAAAGAAUUAAGUUUUAUAUUAGAACUCUGAAGCAUGAUAAAGGGGGCAGUUCACAAUUUUCACUGUUCAAAAACAAAUUUGCUGCAUAGAAUAUCACCACUGCAAGUUAAAAACAAAACAAAAAGUCUUUUAUUUGUGAACACUGAUGCAAGAAACAUGUUAAAUGAAAGAACUCUUUUUACCCAAGAAGGAAGAGGUGAAGGAUGUGGCUAAAAAGAAAAAAAAAAAACUUUAUUUAUUAAACCAUAUUAUUUGAUUACUGUGUUAGAAUUUCAUAAGCAAUAAUUAAACGUGUCUUUAUAGAUAUUUCAGGAAUGUAUACAUAUUGUGAGUAAUGCUUUCAAAAGUUAUGAAAAUCAUGAACUACCCCAGAAUUGAACUGUUGUACUUCCAAAGAAAAUUGGGCUGUUUAUAAUGAUUUUAAUAGAGAAAGAUCCCAGGGAUCGGUCAUAAUUGGUCUUGUUUGAUAAUGUGGACAUCCACAAACAAACAAACAACAGAAACAAAAUCUGUAAAUGUUCCUUUGUAAAACUUGUAAAUUUUAUUUAUACUGUCUUGUUUUGUACACACAUUUCUCUGUAGUGGGCUCUGAAUACAUUGAAAAUGCACUAUAUUUUUCUAUUUUACUUGCAGAGCAUCACAAAAGAACAGGUAUUUUCAGUGCUACAUAAUGUGUUUUCCCACAUUUAGGACCAAAGAUGGCUAUAGAAAAACUCAAAUGGAUUGCUUCCCAAACCCCUCCCCACCCUUUUUUUUUUCUUUUAGGUCACUGUACAGUGUUAUUUGAUAUUUUAAUUUAUUUUUUGGAUUGACUAGAAAAAUCAUUUUAAUUUCACUAAAAUGUUUUUUGUCCCUAAGGAAAAGUAAUCUGUAAAAAUAAUUUUAAUUAGCAUAAUACAGUCACCUAGAUACUUCCAUUUGUAAUCUUUGUAAUAGACUGUAAAUAUAUUUUUGGAACUAUAACACAAUGUGCUUGAGGGUUAUUUUUCAGUGUCUGCAGUGUAUACAAGUGUUUAUACUAAGUACAGCACUUUACAAUUCUAAUCAGUAGCAUUGGCCUUUGUGAGAAUGAGUGAGAGUUUGAGUGAGUGUUCUUAAUUCCGUUUGGAUUCUAGACUCACUAAUAAUGAAGUUCUUUUCUUGUUCAUAGCUUAAGGUGCUUAUUUUUUCUAUUAAAAUUAAAUUAACAAAAAGCCAUUCUAGAAAUAGAAGACAUAGUAUGGUACACGCAAACGGUGUCUUUCCUGCUUUUUUCUAGCACUAGAUUUAUAGUUGAGUAGUCUUUCUUGAGUAGAAGGGCAGAAUAAAAGUUUUUUUGAGUUUUUUUUUCAAAAAUAACUUUUUUCUUCAGCAAUAUACCUCAUCUGCCUUAAAUUUUUUACAGCUCUUUACAGGGAAAGGGGAGAAGGGAUGGGAAAGACACACAGCACAAUAGGAAGUGUAUGAUUACAUCACUCUCUCUCGUUUGUAGGUUUCUUUUCUCAAUUGACAUUAUGAUUUUGAAGUACAUGUAUGUGAAACAAAUAUUAGGAGAAAAAGAAUUAACAUUGUAAUGCUGAUUGUAAUACUCUCUUCCAGAAAGAGACGAAAUGGUAUAAUGAUAAGAAUGUACAACUUGCACCUUGAAGUCUUUUUUGAUAAAUUAGUGCUCAGGGGAGGAAAAGUAAAGAAAGCAAAAGUCAAAAAUAGAAUUCCAAAAUUAAAAAUGCAAAAGGAAAUGGCCUCCUUGCUUUAAUAGAGCCACCUUUUAUAGAACGCUGUUUUCACACUUGGUCUGUGUUUUGCAUUCAAUACUGAAAUAAAAGUAACUUUUAUUACAUCUGAAUCUAACAUUUUCUCAGCAAUUGAUCUGGGCCUUGUUUACUAGAACUGGUGGUUUAUGCUUGUCAGAGCACUAUUAGUUGAAUCAUAUUGUAUACUUAUGUAAUCUACAUUAGCUAGUACUAUUUAGGACUAUAUUUUAAUUGCUCCUCUUAUCCGUGUUUUUAAGACAAUUAAAAUGGUGUAAUUCACCUCUCUUUUUUUAUUUAGGUAAUGCUGAUAUUCUCCCUUUUGUUUCCUGAGUAGCCUAGAACUGUGCUACUCACUGAUGUGCAUGUUCAAAUAAAUUACUAAUGUGUAUUUUUUUGCUAUAUGUGGAGAAAUCAUGGGGAACUCGGGGCGAGAUGUGCUUUUUGUUGGUUGAAUUUGUCCCUCCUUGCCUAAGAAUUACUACAGGGGUCAUCCUUUUAUAAGGACAAACUGCUUUUGAACAGUGUCUUCAAUGUAUCAAGCACAAAUAACUCUUUCUUCAACACGAAUCAUAAGUCUCUUUUUACCAGCUUAAAAUAAUAAACGAGUCUAUUAGACGAUGUAAAGAAAA